ACUAAAAUGGCAGACAGAUGUGUGAGAUUUAGGAUCUUAUUAGGACGGCGAAGCCUUCUUUUAGUA
This 66-nucleotide transfer RNA is filed under the name Corallianassa coutierei. RNAcentral describes it as "tRNA-Leu". The record is from RNAcentral. Lineage: Eukaryota; Metazoa; Arthropoda; Malacostraca; Decapoda; Callianassidae.